CCCCCCAGGGUUUUCCCAGCCUGUUUCUGUUUCUGUUUACUUGUGUGUGUGUCUCUGGGCGUGUCCCCCUCUGGGUUGUGCACAAGCAGGCUCUAGGUGUGUCCCAGCUCAGAGCAGCUCCGCCAGCGGGGUGUUUCUCCCCUGCAGGGAAAUUCCAGGGGGCAGAGCCGGCCUCAGCUGCGCUCAGACUCGCCCCGCAGCCAUACAGCUGGCCAGUUUCCCCAAGCACGACUGCUCCUCCAGACAAGGUAGAGGGCGGAAUGUGUGAGCUUUUCUCCUGGAGAGGGCACCCCCCCUCCCCCGUGUCUUCUGGCCCUGUGGAAUUGGGAGGUACAGAGGAAUGGAAGAAACCCACCACCCUAACUCACAUUCGGAACCUGGGGCCCCCAUGUGCGCGCUCCACUGACGCCACCCCCAGAAAGGAUCAUGGAGAGGAGGCCACGUGCUCAGCUGAGAUGGGAACCGACCUAGUCCCGGUUCACUGGCUGGUGGAAACUCAGGCAAGAGAAGGAAUGAUUAAGGGAACAUGCAGGAGGAACAGCAAUGAGACAUCAUCCUAAUUCCGCCUCUGCUGGGGGGACUACCCCGCUCCUUCUGCCCUUGCUGGAGUUCCCUGUGCCAGUCUCAGGAAUGCUGAACCAAACCCCUAGACCCUGAGCACCCUCAACCAGCCUGGCCUUUGGACAAGGAGAAGAGGAGCAUUCAUACUGAAGGGAUCCAGAAUCUCUCACUGUGAGUGGUUUCUCCCAUACUCCCAGUAUCUAAAAGCAGAGUCUCCCGGAAGGAUUCAGCUGUCACCAGUCUCCUCCUCAGGAGAUGGGCUCUUUCCACUGGAGAGAAAUCUGCUUUGGAGUAAGAAAUCACAUAAGCAGGUAUUGUCACAAGACUACCAUAUUUCCUAUCUAUUUUCCUAAGGGCCUACUUAUCUUUCCUAAAAGCCAUUUGAUGGGACACCUGGGUGGCUCAGUCGGUUAAGCAUCUGACUCAUGGCUUCACCUCAGGGCAUGAUCUCAUGGUUUUGUGAGUUGGAGCGCCCUCGUCGGGCUCUGCACCAACCGUGCGGAGCCUGCUUGGGAUUCUCUCUCUCUCCCUCUAUCCUGCCCCUCCCCUGCUCAUGCUGUCUCUGUCUCUCUCAAAAUAAAUAAAUAACAUUGAUAAAUAAAUAAAUAAAAUCCAUUUGUUUUCCUGUAAAUGCCCUUCUCCCCCUCCCCUUCCCCUAUUAGGGUGGUAUAGAAGCCCCAAAUUCUAACCACCUCCUUGAAUUUCAUUUUUCUGUGAACUCACAUGUAUGUAUAUGAAUUUUAAAAUAUCUCUUCUUUUGCAAAUCUGUGUU
Long non-coding RNA from Panthera uncia (snow leopard), 1333 nucleotides. RefSeq lists it as uncharacterized. The record is from RefSeq and is a predicted model, not a curated record. The transcript has 3 exons. Lineage: Eukaryota; Metazoa; Chordata; Mammalia; Carnivora; Felidae.